This 564-nucleotide ribosomal RNA is filed under the name Vibrio alginolyticus. RNAcentral describes it as "bacterial SSU rRNA". It matches the Rfam family "Bacterial small subunit ribosomal RNA", at positions 79 to 638 of the family's 1533-position model. The record is from RNAcentral. Lineage: Bacteria; Pseudomonadati; Pseudomonadota; Gammaproteobacteria; Vibrionales; Vibrionaceae.
ACGAUAACGGCGUCGAGCGGCGGACGGGUGAGUAAUGCCUAGGAAAUUGCCCUGAUGUGGGGGAUAACCAUUGGAAACGAUGGCUAAUACCGCAUGAUGCCUACGGGCCAAAGAGGGGGACCUUCGGGCCUCUCGCGUCAGGAUAUGCCUAGGUGGGAUUAGCUAGUUGGUGAGGUAAGGGCUCACCAAGGCGACGAUCCCUAGCUGGUCUGAGGAGGAUGAUCAGCCACACUGGAACUGAGACACGGUCCAGACUCCUACGGGAGGCAGCAGUGGGGAAUAUUGCACAAUGGGCGCAAGCCUGAUGCAGCCAUGCCGCGUGUGUGAAGAAGGCCUUCGGGUUGUAAAGCACUUUCAGUCGUGAGGAAGGUGGUGUAGUUAAUAGCUGCAUUAUUUGACGUUAGCGACAGAAGAAGCACCGGCUAACUCCGUGCCAGCAGCCGCGGUAAUACGGAGGGUGCGAGCGUUAAUCGGAAUUACUGGGCGUAAAGCGCAUGCAGGUGGUUUGUUAAGUCAGAUGUGAAAGCCCGGGGCUCAACCUCGGAAUAGCAUUUGAAACUGGCA